UACUUUUUAGUGUAAGGUGCACGGUAAUUUUUGGUGUUUCAGGGGCAGUUUAAUUCUGCAAAAAGUAA
Molecule: transfer RNA, 68 nt
Filed under: Chalcopteryx rutilans
Lineage: Eukaryota; Metazoa; Arthropoda; Insecta; Odonata; Polythoridae
Description: tRNA-Gln
Source: RNAcentral